AGUGCUGUAGCUACCUCUACCAGUCCCCUUCCAAAAACAGUGAUUCAUGUGGCUUCAUUUGCUUCAUUUUUGCCAGCAGAUUGAAUUUGUUUCUGAUGCCACAUGACAAAGGUGCAACACACAGGAGCACUCAAUGGAGAACAUUUGCGUAGCGAGGCAGUGUGGUUCCCCGCCGCCCCAGAGAGGGACGAGCCCCUCCGGAUGCCAAAGUGCACGGAGCCAGUGGAGCCUGCGCCCGCCCCCCGGAGGUCAAGGUGCAGGACAGGAAGUACAAAAGCCCAACCCCAGAGCUCACUAGAGACCUAUCUGCCAGUGAAGCCAGACACCUGUGGCCUAGUUCCCGGUUGGGAGACUCCUGCAAUUGGCGACCAAGCCGAGGAAUGGCCAGACCAGCCGAGGCCUGAUGCCGACCAGACCCUGAGAAGCUAUUAAGCAAGUUACCCAGAGGAGCUGCCAAGCCUAGCGCUCGCUGAGUACCCUGAGGAGCCCGUGGUGCUUGAUUCUUUGGAGGACACCGUCACGACGCAGAUUGGUAAAAGGACAAGCUAGCUCCAAACUGGAUGCCCACAACACAGAUAUUGGUUGAACCCAAUGGGACACCUAAAAACAGGGCAUGAAGGACAGAGGCCAUAACAGGGACCCGAAGCAGUGCCGCAUGAAACUGAAGGAGCUGAGGCAAGCCUACCAGAAAACCAGAGAGGCGAAUGACUGCUCCGGGUCAGAGCCCCAAACAUGCCACUUCUAUGAUGAGCUGCAUGCCAUUUUAGGGGGUUCAGCCACCACUACCCCAGCCAUGUUGUUUGACUCCUUCAAUGGAGAUGGAGGCAACACGGAAGCAGGUUUUGGGGACGAAGAAGAUGAUGAUGAUGAUGAGGUUGUAGAUAGCUCACAGCAAGCAAGCGGAGAGACCGGUUUUCCCGACAGCCAGGAACUGUUUCUCACCCUGGACCUGGAGCCAGUACCCCCCGAACCCACCCAAGGCUGACUCCUGGACCCGGCAGGGGGAGAAGGGACCUCCGCUGCAUGUGUUUCAAUGAUCACAGGAUCGUCUCCUUCCCAGAGGCUAGUGAAGAUUAGAAAGAAAAAAAAACGCAUUUGCGAUGAAAUGUUCUCCGAGCUCAUGCUGUCCUCCCACACUGACAGAGCACAGACGAAUACAUGGAGGCAAAUAAUGCAGAAGUGCAGGAAAGCACAAAAUGACCGGGAGGAGAGGUGGCGGGCUGAAGAGAGUAAGUGGUGGGUUGAAGACAGGGCUGAAGCUCAAAUGUGGCAGCAGCGUGAUGAGAGGAGGCAGGAUUCAAUGCUGAGGCUGCUGCAGGACCAAACCAGUAUGCUCCAGUGUCUGGUUGAGCUGCAGCAAAGGCAGCUGGAGCACAGACUGCCGCUACAGCCCCUGUGUAACCAACUGCCUCCUCCCCAAGUUCCAUAGCCUCCACACCCAGACGGCCAAGAACGUGGUGGGGGGGCCACCGGCCAACCAGCCACUCCACCACAGAGGAUUGCCCCCAA
Molecule: long non-coding RNA, 1509 nt
Organism: Caretta caretta (loggerhead turtle)
Lineage: Eukaryota; Metazoa; Chordata; Testudines; Cheloniidae
Source: RefSeq, a predicted model, not a curated record